UACGUAGGGUGCAGGCGUUAAUCGGAAUUACUGGGCGUAAAGCGUGCGCAGGCGGUUUGCUAAGACAGGUGUGAAAUCCCCGGGCUUAACCUGGGAACUGCGCUUGUUACUGGCAGGCUUGAGUGUGGCAGAGGGGGGUGGAAUUCCACGUGUAGCAGUGAAAUGCGUAGAGAUGUGGAGGAACACCGAUGGCGAAGGCGGGUCUCUGGGCCGAUACUGACGCUGAGGAGCGAAAGCGUGGGGAGCAAACAGG
This 253-nucleotide ribosomal RNA is filed under the name uncultured bacterium. RNAcentral's name for it is "partial 16S ribosomal RNA". It matches the Rfam family "Bacterial small subunit ribosomal RNA", at positions 524 to 776 of the family's 1533-position model. The record is from RNAcentral.